This is a non-coding RNA of Pelobates cultripes (western spadefoot toad), 496 nucleotides long. Lineage: Eukaryota; Metazoa; Chordata; Amphibia; Anura; Pelobatidae. The record is from the annotation of a GenBank genome assembly.
GGGAUCCCCAGCGCCAAGGGAGACCGGCGCUGGAGAAAGGUAAGUGCUGAAGACACACACACACACACACACUUACAGACGCAUACACACUAGCUAACAGACACACACAUUUACUGACAGAGACACAGUCAGCGACAGACAUACAUACACACUCACUGACAAAACAUACACUCUCAUUGACAAACACACACUCACUAACAGACAUCAAACAGACUCACUAACACACACACUCAGUAAGACACACACAGUAACACACACACUAACACUCACUCUAACACUCACACACACUAACACUCACUCUAACACUCACACACACACACACUAACAGACACACACACUAACACUCACACUAACACUCACACACACUAACACUCACUCUAACACUCACACACACUAACACUCACUCUAACACUCACACACACUAACACUCACUCUAACACUCACACACACUAACACUCACUCUAACACUCACACACACUAACACUCACUCUAACAC